Molecule: non-coding RNA, 95 nt
Organism: Veillonella parvula DSM 2008
Lineage: Bacteria; Bacillati; Bacillota; Negativicutes; Veillonellales; Veillonellaceae
Source: Rfam
UAUUGCCACUAGGGGUGCUUUUGCUGAGAUUGACCAUUCAAAACCCUAGACCUGAUCUAGAUAAUACUGGCGUAGGAAAGUGGAGUGAAACAUAA